Molecule: ribosomal RNA, 445 nt
Filed under: uncultured bacterium
Lineage: Bacteria
Description: partial 16S ribosomal RNA
Rfam family: Bacterial small subunit ribosomal RNA
Source: RNAcentral
GUAGGGAAUAUUGGGCAAUGGAUGCAAGUCUGACCCAGCCAUCCCGCGUGCCGGAAGAAGGCCCUCAGGGUUGUAAACGGCUUUUGACGGUGAAGAACCGACAGGAUGCGUCCUGUUUUGACGGUAGCCGUUGAAUAAGCACCGGCUAACUCCGUGCCAGCAGCCGCGGUAAUACGGGGGGUGCGAGCGUUGUCCGGAUUUAUUGGGUUUAAAGGGUGCGUAGGCUGGAAGGUCAGUCAGCGGUGAAAAGCUAUCGCUUAACGAUAGUCUUGCCGCAGAUACUUCCUUUCUUGGAUGAGGAGGAGGCCACUGGAACGGAUGGUGUAGCGGUGAAAUGCAUAGAUAUCAUCCAGAACACCGAUUGCGAAGGCAGGUGGCUGUACCUUAAUCGACGCUGAUGCACGAAAGCAUGGGGAGCAAACAGGAUUAGAAACCCGGGUAGUCC